UUCGGUCAGCUAACCUUGGUCAGUUAAUCCUACAUACCAAGCUUAUCGUGCAGAACCUCCCUAACAAUUGAAGAGUGGCCUUAUCUUGCUCUCGCUUAACCCCAGGAUGUAUGUCUUGCAAAGAUAAUGUGCAGCUGUGGAAAAUUACUAAGAGUUAAGUGUUUUGAAAAUGCCAUAUAAACCCUUGGUUUUGAGUGCUCGGGGUCCUUGUUGAGACCCGCUGCGUCGGGCUAACUUGGACCCCAGCUAGCUGGUUCCUGAAUAAAUUCCUCUUGCUUGUUGCAUCAAGAGACGCCUUUCGUGAGUGAUUUGGGGCGGCGUCCUCCUCUGGGGGAAUCCAACAUUUGGGGGCUCGUCCGGGAUCUGCGCUCACCCCGCUUCACUCCCGAAGUCGCUCUUGGAGGAAGAGAAGCCACAAAACUGCAAAUAGUAAUAGAAACGAAACCCAGAAUAGAAGCGCCAGCCUUCUGAGGCCCUCUCAACUGACCAGUGAUAGAGACCUAGCUGCACCCUUUACUGCGCCCCCUUCUCAGCACGAAGCAGCCAGAGCGGUCAUCGCCCCUUUUCCCUAGCAGCAGCUAGAGUCUCUACCUGUAGAGAAGAGAAUGAGACAGGGACCAUAGGCUUAGACAGAAUAAAGUGAGAGCCUCUGGAAGAGGUGGGGCAAUCAGAGCAAUGUAACUACAUGCUGGAACUCCCCCCUACUGGAACUAUGUUGAACAUGGAACUCUAGAAUCAUUCUUCAGUGAGAUCAGUUAAUGUUCCCCAGAUAGAGAGGAGUAGCACAUGUUUUGUUAUGCUAGUCAUUUGUAAUCGUGUAUGAGAUUCGCUUUAGCAUACUGGAGGGCCUGGGCCUGUGUGCUGUUUUUCCUCCUUCAGAUCUGACUAAGUAAUUUUGCAAGCUGAGCAAUUGACUUAGCAUGCAGACCCAGCUGUAGACGGCAUAGUAAAAAGCAAGAUUCUUUUUUUUUUUUACAGUUAACUAAGUGACAGGCUUUAUUUGGAUUUCACCAAUUUAUAUAUAUAAUUUUUUUCUAUAUGGUUCUAUGAAAAUUUUAAUACAUGUAUUAUUUCAUAGGACCAACACCACAUUCAGGAUUUAGAACUGUUCCAAAGGAACCCAUCACCCUGAAAAAACUCCCUGGCACUACCCUUUAGAGUCACAUCUCGCUCCCAACCCUUCCUGCUAUUUUUUUUUUUUUUUUUUUUUUAUUAAAGGGUAGUUGACAACAGCAUUGCAUUACAUUAGUUUCAGGUGUACAACACAGCGACUCAACAUUUAUAUACAUGAUAUUUCUAGGUACCAGGUAUCACCAUACCAAGUUGUUACAAUAUUUUGACUAUAUUCCUUAUGAAAAAGCAAGAUUCUUUAGCAAAUAGACAAUAUCUCAGCCCACCUUAGAGGCUGGGCAUGCAAUCUUUUGAUGUGCACCCGAACCAAGGCGCCAGUGUCCCAGAGAGAAAUCAAAGAAAUUAUCUUUAAUAUUCAAAGACCCCUUCCCCGUUACCCAGACUGACAACCGCGAUUUAUAUAAUAAGUUAAAAGCUCUCCAGGCAGUCCAAAGAGAAGUGUAGACCCAACUAAAAGCAGUCUAUGAGCCCGGCACUUCAGAAGCAGCCCACCCAUUCCAAGUUAAAGACUUUGUGUUUGUAAGGCGACACCGAGCGCAGACCCUUGAGCCACGGUAGAAAAGACCCUACUUAGUGUUACCACCCCAACAGCAGUCAAAGUUGAUAAAAUUGCCGCCUAGAUCCACGCAUCUCAUGUGAAACCCGUUGUCUCAGCCGAGACAGCUGACGACCAUCUCACGUGGAGAGCCCAACCUACUGAGAAUCCUCUCCAGCUUAAAAAUCACCAGAAGACCCCUAAAGUGACCAGGUGCGCGUCCAGAGACACCAACGCCAUUUAGCUGACCCACGCACCGUUCUCAAAAACUCUAUUCCAAGAUAACCACGUCAGCUGGACAAAGACAACCCUCAAAAGCUAAGACUGCGCCGUUCAUAUUGUGCCUUUCCCCUAUUGCACUACCAAACAGAUGACCUCUAAUUUCAUGAUUGAAAUAGUUACAAGAAGAAGGGGAAUGUAAGAAUGAGAAUAAGUUAGCAUAAGAGUAGCAAUCUUAAGGGCCUAGAAGCAGUUUUCUGAAGUUGUGACUUAAAAGAAAAAAAACUGGAACUGGGUAAGGCCUUGGAAAACAAGUUAAUCAUGAACACCGGGAUGGGGGCAGCUGUGGCCUUCAGUCAGCUAACCUUGGUCAGUUAAUCCUACUUACCAAGCUUAUCGUGCAGAACCUCCCUAACAAUUGAAGAGUGGCCUUAUCUUGCUCUCGCUUAACCCCAGGAUGUAUGUCUUGCAAAGAUAAUGUGCAGCUGUGGAAAAUUACUAAGAGUUAAGUGUUUUGAAAAUGCCAUAUAAACCCUUGGUUUUGAGUGCUCGGGGUCCUUGUUGAGACCCGCUGCGUCGGGCUAACUUGGACCCCAGCUAGCUGGUUCCUGAAUAAAUUCCUCUUGCUUGUUGCAUCAA
This is a long non-coding RNA of Manis pentadactyla (Chinese pangolin), 2524 nucleotides long. RefSeq lists it as uncharacterized. NCBI's taxonomy places the organism in Eukaryota, Metazoa, Chordata, Mammalia, Pholidota, Manidae. The transcript is spliced from 2 exons. The record is from RefSeq and is a predicted model, not a curated record.